CAACCCUUAAGCCUAGCUUAGUGUUGGGAGUCUACCCUGUGGCUACCCUGUAGCUACCCUGUAGUUCCUUAAAUCGAACGGCAGAGCGGUGGUGUCCUCUGAGCGUAGUAGCUUAUAUCUCGCUUUUGUAGGUGCCACGGUUCCCGCCGUAAAAACACCCCAAUCUAGAAGU
This 172-nucleotide unclassified non-coding RNA is filed under the name Pestalotiopsis sp. YM1. RNAcentral describes it as "ITS2". The record is from RNAcentral. RNAcentral also lists the same sequence under 2 other names. Lineage: Eukaryota; Fungi; Ascomycota; Sordariomycetes; Amphisphaeriales; Sporocadaceae.